RNAcentral lists this ribosomal RNA (468 nucleotides) under uncultured bacterium. Its description in RNAcentral is "partial 16S ribosomal RNA". It matches the Rfam family "Bacterial small subunit ribosomal RNA", at positions 28 to 507 of the family's 1533-position model. The record is from RNAcentral.
GACGAACGCUGGCGGCAUGCUUAACACAUGCAAGUCGAACGGAACGGCCCUGCUUUGGUGGGGUGCUCGAGUGGCGAACGGGUAAGUAACACGUGAGUAACCUACCAUUGACUGUGGGAUAACUUCAUGAAACUGAGGCUAAUACCGGCUAGGAUCUCCUGCUUCAUGGUGGGGGUGGGAAGGUUUAGGCGGUUGGUGAUGGACUCGCCGCGUAUGAGCUUGUUUGUUGGGUAGUGUCUUACCAAGGCCUUGAGGCGUAGCCGGGCUGAGAUGGUGACAUGACAAACUGGGACGGAGCUAAGGCACAGACUCCUACGGUACGCAGCAGUGGGGUAUAGUGUACAAUGGACGGAAGCCUGACGCAGCCCCGCAGCGUGGCGGAUGACGGCCUGCGGGUUGUAUUGCGCUUUUGCUUGUCCCGAAGCGUGAGUGACGGUAAUGGGUAAAGAAGCACCGGCUAACUACGUG